AGGUAAGCUACUAAGAGCGAAUGGUGGAUGCCUUGACUGGUAAAGGCGAUGAAGGACGUACUAGACUGCGAUAAGCUACGGGGAGCUGUCAAGAAGCUUUGAUCCGUAGAUUUCCGAAUGGGGCAACCCAAUGUAUAGAGAUAUACAUUACCUAUAUAGGAGCGAACGAGGGGAAUUGAAACAUCUUAGUACCCUCAGGAAAAGAAAUCAAUAGAGAUUGCGUCAGUAGCGGCGAGCGAAAGCGCAAGAGGGCAAACCCAGUGCUUGCACUGGGGGUUGUAGGACUGCAAUGUGCAAGAGCUGAGUUUAGCAGAACAUUCUGGAAAGUAUAGCCAUAGAGGGUGAUAGUCCCGUAUGCGAAAAACAAAGCUUAGCUAGCAGUAUCCUGAGUAGGGCGGGACACGAGGAAUCCUGUCUGAAUCCGGGUCGACCACGAUCCAACCCUAAAUACUAAUACCAGAUCGAUAGUGCACAAGUACCGUGAGGGAAAGGUGAAAAGAACUGAGGUGAUCAGAGUGAAAUAGAACCUGAAACCAUUUGCUUACAAUCAUUCAGAGCACUAUGUAGCAAUACAGUGUGAUGGACUGCCUUUUGCAUAAUGAGCCUGCGAGUUGUGGUGUCUGGCAAGGUUAAGCAAACGCGAAGCCGUAGCGAAAGCGAGUCUGAAUAGGGCGCUUAGUCAGAUGCUGCAGACCCGAAACGAAGUGAUCUAUCCAUGAGCAAGUUGAAGCUAGUGUAAGAACUAGUGGAGGACUGAACCCAUAGGCGUUGAAAAGCCCCGGGAUGACUUGUGGAUAGGGGUGAAAGGCCAAUCAAACUUCGUGAUAGCUGGUUCUCUCCGAAAUAUAUUUAGGUAUAGCGUUGUGUCGUAAUAUAAGGGGGUAGAGCACUGAAUGGGCUAGGGCAUACACCAAUGUACCAAACCCUAUCAAACUCCGAAUACCUUAUAUGUAAUCACAGCAGUCAGGCGGCGAGUGAUAAAAUCCGUCGUCAAGAGGGAAACAACCCAGACUACCAGCUAAGGUCCCUAAAUCUUACUUAAGUGGAAAACGAUGUGAAGUUACUUAAACAACCAGGAGGUUGGCUUAGAAGCAGCCAUCCUUUAAAGAAAGCGUAAUAGCUCACUGGUCUAGUGAUUUUGCGCGGAAAAUAUAACGGGGCUAAAGUAAGUACCGAAGCUGUAGACUUGCACACAACUUAGAUUAUUUAAGUUUAGAAUAUGAGAAACUAAGUUAUAUGUUUAGUUAUAUUUUUACUGAUUUUUAUAGAGUAAAGAUAGAAAUAAAACUUAGUAAAAUCAGUAAAAAUAUUCUUAGGCUAAAGUUAAGUAGUUUAAGUUGUGUGCAAGUGGUAGGAGAGCGUUCUAUUUGCGUCGAAGGUAUACCGGUAAGGAGUGCUGGAGCGAAUAGAAGUGAGCAUGCAGGCAUGAGUAGCGAUAAUUAAUGUGAGAAUCAUUAACGCCGUAAACCCAAGGUUUCCUACGCGAUGCUCGUCAUCGUAGGGUUAGUCGGGUCCUAAGUCGAGUCCGAAAGGGGUAGACGAUGGCAAAUUGGUUAAUAUUCCAAUACCAACAUUAGUGUGCGAUGGAAGGACGCUUAGGGCUAAGGGGGCUAGCGGAUGGAAGUGCUAGUCUAAGGUUGUAGGAGGUUAUACAGGCAAAUCCGUAUAACAAUACUCCGAGAACUGAAAGGCUUUUUGAAGUCUUCGGAUGGAUAGAAGAACCCCUGAUGCCGUCGAGCCAAGAAAAGUUUCUAAGUUUAGCUAAUGUUGCCCGUACCGUAAACCGACACAGGUGGGUGGGAUGAGUAUUCUAAGGCGCGUGGAAGAACUCUCUUUAAGGAACUCUGCAAAAUAGCACCGUAUCUUCGGUAUAAGGUGUGCCUCCCUUUGUAUUAGAAUUCACUUCGAAAGCAAAGAAGGUUACAACAAAGAGUCCCUCCCGACUGUUUACCAAAAACACAGCACUCUGCUAACUCGUAAGAGGAUGUAUAGGGUGUGACGCCUGCCCGGUGCUCGAAGGUUAAUUGAUGGGGUUAGCAUUAGCGAAGCUCUUGAUCGAAGCCCGAGUAAACGGCGGCCGUAACUAUAACGGUCCUAAGGUAGCGAAAUUCCUUGUCGGUUAAAUACCGACCUGCAUGAAUGGCGUAACGAGAUGGGAGCUGUCUCAAAGAGGGAUCCAGUGAAAUUGUAGUGGAGGUGAAAAUUCCUCCUACCCGCGGCAAGACGGAAAGACCCCGUGGACCUUUACUACAGCUUGACACUGCUAUUUGGAUAAGAAUGUGCAGGAUAGGUGGGAGGCUUUGAGUAUAUGACGCCAGUUGUAUAUGAGCCAUUGUUGAGAUACCACUCUUUCUUAUUUGGGUAGCUAACCAGCUUGAGUUAUCCUCAAGUGGGACAAUGUCUGGUGGGUAGUUUGACUGGGGCGGUCGCCUCCCAAAUAAUAACGGAGGCUUACAAAGGUUGGCUCAUAGCGGUUGGAAAUCGCUAGUAGAGUAUAAAGGUAUAAGCCAGCUUAACUGCAAGACAUACAAGUCAAGCAGAGACGAAAGUCGGUCUUAGUGAUCCGGUGGUUCUGUGUGGAAGGGCCAUCGCUCAAAGGAUAAAAGGUACCCCGGGGAUAACAGGCUGAUCUCCCCCAAGAGCUCACAUCGACGGGGAGGUUUGGCACCUCGAUGUCGGCUCAUCGCAUCCUGGGGCUGGAGCAGGUCCCAAGGGUAUGGCUGUUCGCCAUUUAAAGCGGUACGCGAGCUGGGUUCAGAACGUCGUGAGACAGUUCGGUCCCUAUCUGCCGUGGGCGUAAGAAGAUUGAAGAGAUUUGACCCUAGUACGAGAGGACCGGGUUGAACAAACCACUGGUGUAGCUGUUGUUCUGCCAAGAGCAUCGCAGCGUAGCUAAGUUUGGAAAGGAUAAACGCUGAAAGCAUCUAAGCGUGAAGCCAACUCUAAGAUGAAUCUUCUCUAAGCUCUCUAGAAGACUACUAGUUUGAUAGGCUGGGUGUGUAAUGGAUGAAAGUCCUUUAGCUGACCAGUACUAAUAGAGCGUUUGGCUUAUCUUU
RNAcentral lists this ribosomal RNA (3056 nucleotides) under Campylobacter jejuni. RNAcentral describes it as "23S ribosomal RNA". It matches the Rfam family "Bacterial large subunit ribosomal RNA". The record is from RNAcentral. Lineage: Bacteria; Pseudomonadati; Campylobacterota; Epsilonproteobacteria; Campylobacterales; Campylobacteraceae.